Molecule: ribosomal RNA, 527 nt
Filed under: Bifidobacterium adolescentis
Lineage: Bacteria; Bacillati; Actinomycetota; Actinomycetes; Bifidobacteriales; Bifidobacteriaceae
Description: partial 16S ribosomal RNA
Rfam family: Bacterial small subunit ribosomal RNA
Source: RNAcentral
UGGUAAUGCCGGAUGCUCCAGUUGACCGCAUGGUCCUCUGGGAAAGCUUUUGCGGUAUGGGAUGGGGUCGCGUCCUAUCAGCUUGAUGGCGGGGUAACGGCCCACCAUGGCUUCGACGGGUAGCCGGCCUGAGAGGGCGACCGGCCACAUUGGGACUGAGAUACGGCCCAGACUCCUACGGGAGGCAGCAGUGGGGAAUAUUGCACAAUGGGCGCAAGCCUGAUGCAGCGACGCCGCGUGCGGGAUGACGGCCUUCGGGUUGUAAACCGCUUUUGACUGGGAGCAAGCCCUUCGGGGUGAGUGUACCUUUCGAAUAAGCACCGGCUAACUACGUGCCAGCAGCCGCGGUAAUACGUAGGGUGCAAGCGUUAUCCGGAAUUAUUGGGCGUAAAGGGCUCGUAGGCGGUUCGUCGCGUCCGGUGUGAAAGUCCAUCGCUUAACGGUGGAUCCGCGCCGGGUACGGGCGGGCUUGAGUGCGGUAGGGGAGACUGGAAUUCCCGGUGUAACGGUGGAAUGUGUAGAUAUCG